GCAGAGAGGGGGCCCCCAUUGGUCCUUCUGGGGAAUAGCUGAGCUCUGGGCCAAAAGAUGUCCCCAGGCCAGCCAGCCAGCCAGCCAGCCCAGCGGGAGACUGCCUCGCCCCAGUGGCUGUGGAGCCCACAGUCCCAUUGCACUCCACCUCCUGGUCUGCAGCCCACAGUCCUCUCCCCUGGGGCCAGCCCCCUCACCUUUGGGCCCCCACACAACUGCGCCUGCUUCUGGAGUGUGUGUGCUGGACUGGCUCCUGGGGGAGUGGCCCAAAGACCCAGCGGGCACAGGGGUGGCCUUCCUCUGAAGACAGGCUGGAGGGACCAACAAGUCAGUGACUGGAGGGUCCGGGGACAGAGGGCAAGGAAUCGCUGGGAGGUAGAGCAGUCGCCCGUGGGAGAAAAGGCAGGGGGGCCCCAAUGCGGGAGACUGAAGCCCUCCAGGCUGGGACUGCCCUGUCGGUGCUCACAUCUCAGGUCGGGCAUGUGGAGGGCAGGUGGGGCAGUGAUGAGUCCUGGUCCAGCAGGCCCACCAUCUCUCCCCGUUUCUAAGUGACAGAACAGCCAUUCCGGAAGAAGUGAUGUGUUCAGGUCACAGCCUGUCACUGAUGGGGACGGUCCAGGCCAGGCUGAAUGCUCUUUCCAUCUGGGCCUGACAGCCUCUGGCGCCUGUCUUGUUGGGGCCCACGUGUCACCAAGAGACACCCUGGGGCCUCAGCCUGGGCACAGGUGAGACAUUCACCCGGCACCAGCACAGCGUCCCCGAGGUCUAGCUGAGGCAGCCACAGGACACAGUGGAUGCUGGAAGAGGAGCCACCACAGUGUUCCCGGAGAACAGGAGCCUGAGCCCGUGUCCCCCAGGAGAAGUCUCCCCGCAGAAGCUGCAGAAGCAUCAAGAACCUGGGCUGGGUAAAAGAGUUGGCUUUCUGUUCCAAGCAUCCUGAAGAUUUUAUUUAUUUAUUCACGAGAGACACAGAGAGGGAGCCGCAGAGACACAGGCAGAGGGAGAAGCAGGCUCUACGCAGGAAGCCCGAUGCGGGAUUCAAUCCGGGGUCUCUGGGAUCACACCCUGGGCCAA
Molecule: long non-coding RNA, 1074 nt
Organism: Nyctereutes procyonoides (raccoon dog)
Lineage: Eukaryota; Metazoa; Chordata; Mammalia; Carnivora; Canidae
Exons: 3
Source: RefSeq, a predicted model, not a curated record